This 484-nucleotide ribosomal RNA is filed under the name uncultured bacterium. RNAcentral's name for it is "partial 16S ribosomal RNA". It matches the Rfam family "Bacterial small subunit ribosomal RNA", at positions 30 to 507 of the family's 1533-position model. The record is from RNAcentral.
AUUGAACGCUGGCGGCAGGCCUAACACAUGCAAGUCGAGCGGAUGAAGGGAGCUUGCUCCUGGAUUCAGCGGCGGACGGGUGAGUAAUGCCUAGGAAUCUGCCUGGUAGUGGGGGAUAACGUCCGGAAACGGGCGCUAAUACCGCAUACGUCCUGAGGGAGAAAGUGGGGGAUCUUCGGACCUCACGCUAUCAGAUGAGCCUAGGUCGGAUUAGCUAGCUGGUGGGGUAAAGGCCUACCAAGGCGACGAUCCGUAACUGGUCUGAGAGGAUGAUCAGUCACACUGGAACUGAGACACGGUCCAGACUCCUACGGGAGGCAGCAGUGGCGAAUAUUGGACAAUGGGCGAAAGCCUGAUCCAGCCAUGCCGCGUGUGUGAAGAAGGUCUUCGGAUUGUAAAGCACUUUAAGUUGGGAGGAAGGGCAGUAAGUUAAUACCUUGCUGUUUUGACGUUACCAACAGAAUAAGCACCGGCUAACUUCGUG